AUGCACGCUGGCGGCGUGCUUAACCCAUGCAAGUCGAACGCAACACCUUAUUUGAUUUUCUUCGGAACUGAAGAUUUGGUGAUUGAGUGGCGGACGGGUGAGUAACGCGUGGGUAACCUGCCCUGUACAGGGGGAUAACAGUCAGAAAUGACUGCUAAUACCGCAUAAGACCACAGCACCGCAUGGUGCAGGGGUAAAAACUCCGGUGGUACAGGAUGGACCCGCGUCUGAUUAGCUGGUUGGUGAGGUAACGGCUCACCAAGGCGACGAUCAGUAGCCGGCUUGAGAGAGUGAACGGCCACAUUGGGACUGAGACACGGCCCAAACUCCUACGGGAGGCAGCAGUGGGGAAUAUUGCACAAUGGGGGAAACCCUGAUGCAGCGACGCCGCGUGAGUGAAGAAGUAUUUCGGUAUGUAAAGCUCUAUCAGCAGGGAAGAAAAUGACGGUACCUGACUAAGAAGCCCCGGCUAACUACGUG
RNAcentral lists this ribosomal RNA (480 nucleotides) under uncultured bacterium. Its description in RNAcentral is "partial 16S ribosomal RNA". It matches the Rfam family "Bacterial small subunit ribosomal RNA", at positions 29 to 507 of the family's 1533-position model. The record is from RNAcentral.